CCUACGGGAGGCAGCAGUGAGGAAUAUUGGUCAAUGGGCGCGAGCCUGAACCAGCCAAGUCGCGUGAGGGAGGACGGCCCUACGGGUUGUAAACCUCUUUUGCCGGGGAGCAACGGGCGUCACGUGUGGCGCCACUGAGAGUACCCGGAGAAAAAGCAUCGGCUAACUCCGUGCCACCAGCCGGGGUAAUACGGAGGAUGCGAGCGUUUUCCGGAUUGAUUGGGUUUAAAGGGUCCGUAGGCGGAUCGUUAAGUCAGGGGUAAAAUUGGGGGGCUCAACCCCUUCCCGCCAUUGAAACUGGCGCUCUUGAGUGGAAGAGAAGUAUGCGGAAUGCGUGGUGUAGCGGUGAAAUGCAUAGAUAGCACGCAGAACCCCGAUUGCGAAGGCAGCAUGCCGGCUUCCGACUGACGCUGAAGCACGAAAGCGUGGGGAUCGAACAGGAUUAGAUACCCCAGUAGUC
This 460-nucleotide ribosomal RNA is filed under the name uncultured bacterium. RNAcentral describes it as "partial 16S ribosomal RNA". It matches the Rfam family "Bacterial small subunit ribosomal RNA", at positions 338 to 795 of the family's 1533-position model. The record is from RNAcentral.